This 253-nucleotide ribosomal RNA is filed under the name uncultured bacterium. RNAcentral describes it as "partial 16S ribosomal RNA". It matches the Rfam family "Bacterial small subunit ribosomal RNA", at positions 524 to 776 of the family's 1533-position model. The record is from RNAcentral.
UACGUAGGGGGCGAGCGUUGUCCGGAUUCAUUGGGCGUAAAGCGCGCGCAGGCGGCCCGCUCAGUCGGCCGUGAAAGCGCCGGGCUCAACUCGGCGAGGUCGGGCGAUACUGGCGGGUUCGAGGCUGGUAGAGGGCGGUGGAAUUCCGGGUGUAGUGGUGGAAUGCGUAGAGCUCCGGAGGAACACCAGUGGCGAAGGCGGCCGCCUGGGCCAGUCCUGACGCUGAGCCGCGAAAGCGUGGGGAGCGAUCCGG